This 61-nucleotide ribosomal RNA is filed under the name uncultured archaeon. The record is from RNAcentral.
GACGGCCAUAAUAGGUUGGAAACACCUGUUCCCAUUCCGAACACAGAAGUUAAGCUUCCUA